AUUGAACGCUGGCGGCAGGCCUAACACAUGCAAGUCGAACGAGUGGCGGACGGGUGAGUAAUGUCUGGGAAACUGCCCGAGGGAGGGGGGUAAAUACUGGAAACAGUAGCUAAUACAGCAUACCAUCGGAUGUGCCCAGAUGGGAUUAGCUUGUAGGUGAGGUAACGGCUCACCUAGGCGACGAUCCCUAGCUGGGCUGAGAGGAUGACCAGCCACACUGGAACUGAGACACGGUCCAGACUCCUACGGGAGGCAGCAGUGGGGAAUAUUGCACAAUGGGCGCAAGCCUGAUGCAGCCAUGCCGCGUGUAUGAAGAAGGCCUUCGGGUUGUAAAGUACUUUCAGCGGGGAGGCGUUACCCGCAGAAGAAGCACCGGCUAACUCCGUGCCAGCAGCCGCGGUAAUAC
This 406-nucleotide ribosomal RNA is filed under the name uncultured bacterium. RNAcentral describes it as "partial 16S ribosomal RNA". It matches the Rfam family "Bacterial small subunit ribosomal RNA", at positions 30 to 526 of the family's 1533-position model. The record is from RNAcentral.